Molecule: ribosomal RNA, 497 nt
Filed under: uncultured bacterium
Lineage: Bacteria
Description: partial 16S ribosomal RNA
Rfam family: Bacterial small subunit ribosomal RNA
Source: RNAcentral
GAUGAACGCUGGCGGCGUGCCUAAUACAUGCAAGUCGAGCGAACAGAUGAGGAGCUUGCUCCCCUGACGUUAGCGGCGGACGGGUGAGUAACACGUGGAUAACCUACCUAUAAGACUGGGAUAACUUCGGGAAACCGGAGCUAAUACCGGAUAAUAUAUUGAACCGCAUGGAUCAAUAGUGAAAGACGGUUUUGCUGUCACUUAUAGAUGGAUCCGCGCCGCAUUAGCUAGUUGGUAAGGUAACGGCUUACCAAGGCAACGAUGCGUAGCCGACCUGAGAGGGUGAUCGGCCACACUGGAACUGAGACACGGUCCAGACUCCUACGGGAGGCAGCAGUAGGGAAUCUUGCGCAAUGGGCGAAAGCUUGACGGAGCAACGCCGCGUGAGUGAUGAAGGUCUUCGGAUCGUAAAGCUCUGUUAUUAGGGAAGAACAAAUGUGUAAGUAACUAUGCACGUCUUGACGGUACCUAAUCAGAAAGCCACGGCUAACUACGUG